CAAAUAAGCAAAUCACAUAGUCGAUUUAUAGCCUUCCUCCUCCUAUAAUCAUCUUUUUCUCAAAAUUUUACAUCUAAGAGGGAUUUAUUCAUACUAAUUUUACUUAAUUAGUGAGAAUGCCUUUUUACGCGAAAAUCGACACUUUUAGGUGAAGAUUCCCGGUUACUCAACAUUUCACUUAUUCAAGUUGCAAUGCAUACUCUUAAUUCAAGUACCUUUUUACGCGAAAAUCGACAUUUGUAGAUGCCAACCCCCG
RNAcentral lists this long non-coding RNA (256 nucleotides) under Coffea arabica (coffee). RNAcentral's name for it is "long non-coding RNA (CARA_LNC001131)". The record is from RNAcentral. Lineage: Eukaryota; Viridiplantae; Streptophyta; Magnoliopsida; Gentianales; Rubiaceae.